CUUUAUAAAAGUGUUUUGGGGAACAGGAAAAGGACAAAAAUUGUGGAAGCAGAAGAGGUAUUUAAUUUAAAUGACGCUACUGGCAUAAACCCAAUUAGCUAGAAAUUGAUCAUGAAGAAGUUUAGGCUUCAAACUAGUAAAACCAUUCAAAGAAUGAAGUUCUGGAUCAGUCUCUCAGGCAGUGUUAUGAGGGGAAGGACCUGAAUUGUUUUUUUAAAAAACAAAACGUACUGAGUUAUUGAUAUGAUUGUGAGGAGGAAAAUUCUUAGUGACAGACAAUAAGACAUCCUCAGAGCUAGCAAGUCCAAAGGGAUUGGAAAGGUAACUGACUGUUCUCAUUCUCCAUUAUUAAACCCAUGCCUGGGUGCCUCUGCAGAUGGGAUAAAGAGGCCAGGGAGAAAACCCUUUCCCUGCUCCAUCCUGGAGGUUGGCUACAGACAGAUUGUGGCAGGAGGUACAUUGAAAUAAAAAUCUGAUACUGUUCAAAUGACUGGUGGAGGGAUGGAGCACUCACUUUUUCUGUUUGGGUUAACUAGUCCUGUGAUUUAGAACUGAGAAAGAAAUUUUCUACCAGCCAAGAGAGCAGUACUUCCUUCUUUCCACUCUCCCACUAGAAUAAGGCACAGUCCCCUUUCAAGACCUGUGCAUGAAUUUAUCAUGAUAGCCCUUUCUAUCAUGAGUAGGGAGAAAGAGGCGUUUUCAGGGAGUGCUUCAUUUGACCUAAUUAACAUAUUUCCUUCAGGAUUAGGUGAAGAGUGCCCCAGAAUUGCACAGCCCUCUUUGUUACCCGUAUUAGGAGCUGAGGAGGUGAGUCAGCCACCUCAAGCUGUAUCCUGUUUUUCUGAGAUCAACAGUUCCACAUCCACUGACUCCAACAGAACCAGAACCCAGCUCUAAGGAAGCAGGACAGACCUCUGCCUGCUCCGCCAUACCCCUCCCAGCAUCAUCAGUCACUCACAGUGUGGAAGACAAAGGCUCACAGGCUGGUAGCUCCAUGCUGUGCCCCAGGCAGAACAGCCCUUGGUCCCAGCACCCAGCCCCAGGCACAUCUCCUCUUGUACAGCCCAGCUGGCAACAUCUGGA
This 1083-nucleotide long non-coding RNA is filed under the name Phasianus colchicus (ring-necked pheasant). Its description in RNAcentral is "lncRNA (ENSPCLG00000020911.1)". Lineage: Eukaryota; Metazoa; Chordata; Aves; Galliformes; Phasianidae. The record is from RNAcentral.